CCCUUAGAUGUUCUGGGCUGCACACGUGCUACACUGGCAGGUUCAGCGAGCUUCAUGCCCUGAUCUGAAAGGAAUGGGAAAUCUUUUCAAAACCUGCCAUGCUUGGGAUAGAUGUUUGCAAUUAUUCAUCUUCAACGAGGAUUGCCUUGUAAGCGCACGUCAUCAGCGUGCAUUGAAUACGACCCUGUAUUCUGUACACACCGCCCGUCGCUCCUACCGAUUGAAGUUUUCGGUGAGUUGACAGGAGGAUUUUUUUGAAACUGGUUCGCCAGUGGAUUUUAGAUCCAAAUGCCAACGAAUCGAUGGCUUUAGAGGAAGGAGAAGUCGUAACA
RNAcentral lists this ribosomal RNA (332 nucleotides) under uncultured eukaryote. RNAcentral describes it as "partial 18S ribosomal RNA". It matches the Rfam family "Eukaryotic small subunit ribosomal RNA", at positions 1470 to 1796 of the family's 1831-position model. The record is from RNAcentral.